Molecule: non-coding RNA, 525 nt
Filed under: Pongo abelii (Sumatran orangutan)
Lineage: Eukaryota; Metazoa; Chordata; Mammalia; Primates; Hominidae
Source: RNAcentral
AGGGAAUUGUCAACAAAGGGACGAGAGACGCGCAACUCCGCUCCGCACUGUGCGCCAGCAUCCCCGGGGCCCCGAGGGCGCUCAGGCCCGCCCGGAGACCCCCCGCCCAGGCUGGAGCCGGGCCCUGGGGCCCAGGGAGCGGGUGUGGACAAAUCCUCCAAGAUUUAACUUCCAAGGAAACCGGCGGCGGAGCGGGUGGAGGAGGCGAGGAUGUGUGGCCAGUGCACGCGGAGUGCAAGGCCGCCUAGUUGGGAGCCGCAAGAGCCUGCCUGGUGUGGCAGGCACACGGAACCCAAUCCCUGUCUGUCUGCUGCGGCCUGGGAGGGGAGCGCCGGCCUCACCAGAGGAAGGAGCACGAGGGGAGGAGUUCCUAGAGGAAAUAAUUAGUGAAAUAUUUGCGGAAGAUGCUGGGAUGUGGAUUUAAUUCCACAUGGACAGUGGUGCUUCUGAUUCCCUCAGUCUGUUUCCCUUGGCCUAGACACAUCAAAAAUAAUUCAUUAAAAUAAAAAUAAAAAUUUAAAAACC